UCUAACCUACGGGGCGCAGCAGUGAGGAAUAUUGGUCAAUGGGCGGAAGCCUGAACCAGCCAAGUCGCGUGAGGGAAUAAGGCCCUACGGGUCGUAAACCUCUUUUGCCGGGGAGCAAGGGCCGGGACGAGUCCCGGUCCGGAGAGUACCCGGAGAAAAAGCAUCGGCUAACUCCGUGCCAGCAGCCGCGGUAAUACGGAGGAUGCGAGCGUUAUCCGGAUUUAUUGGGUUUAAAGGGUGCGCAGGCGGGCUGUUAAGCCGGCGGUAAAAAUUCAGGGCUCAACCCUGUCGAGCCGUCGGAACUG
This 305-nucleotide ribosomal RNA is filed under the name uncultured bacterium. RNAcentral describes it as "bacterial SSU rRNA". It matches the Rfam family "Bacterial small subunit ribosomal RNA", at positions 331 to 635 of the family's 1533-position model. The record is from RNAcentral.